This 913-nucleotide ribosomal RNA is filed under the name Cadophora luteo-olivacea. Its description in RNAcentral is "LSU rRNA". It matches the Rfam family "Eukaryotic large subunit ribosomal RNA", at positions 37 to 967 of the family's 3401-position model. Lineage: Eukaryota; Fungi; Ascomycota; Leotiomycetes; Helotiales; Ploettnerulaceae. The record is from RNAcentral.
AGCAUAUCAAUAAGCGGAGGAAAAGAAACCAACAGGGAUUACCUCAGUAACGGCGAGUGAAGCGGUAACAGCUCAAAUUUGAAAGCUAGCUCUUUUAGGGUUCGCAUUGUAAUUUGUAGAAGAUGCUUCGGGUGUGGCCCCGGUCUAAGUUCCUUGGAACAGGACGUCAUAGAGGGUGAGAAUCCCGUAUGUGACUGGGUGCUUUCGCUCAUGUGAAGCUCUUUCGACGAGUCGAGUUGUUUGGGAAUGCAGCUCAAAAUGGGUGGUAAAUUUCAUCUAAAGCUAAAUAUUGGCCAGAGACCGAUAGCGCACAAGUAGAGUGAUCGAAAGAUGAAAAGCACUUUGGAAAGAGAGUUAAACAGUACGUGAAAUUGUUGAAAGGGAAGCGCUUGCAACCAGACUUGCGCGCUGAUGAUCAUCCGGGCUUCUGCCCGGUGCACUCGUCUGCGCUCAGGCCAGCAUCGGUUUCGGUGGUGGGAUAAAGGCCUUGGGAAUGUAGCUCCUCUCGGGGAGUGUUAUAGCCCUCGGUGCAAUGCCGCCUACCGGGACCGAGGACCGCGCUUCGGCUAGGAUGCUGGCGUAAUGGUUGUAAGCGACCCGUCUUGAAACACGGACCAAGGAGUCUAACAUCUAUGCGAGUGUUUGGGUGUCAAACCCAUACGCGUAAUGAAAGUGAACGGAGGUGAGAACCCUUAAGGGUGCAUCAUCGACCGAUCCUGAUGUCUUCGGAUGGAUUUGAGUAAGAGCAUAGCUGUUGGGACCCGAAAGAUGGUGAACUAUGCGUGAAUAGGGUGAAGCCAGAGGAAACUCUGGUGGAGGCUCGCAGCGGUUCUGACGUGCAAAUCGAUCGUCAAAUUUGCGUAUAGGGGCGAAAGACUAAUCGAACCAUCUAGUAGCUGGUUCCUGCCGAAGU